Molecule: ribosomal RNA, 796 nt
Filed under: uncultured Methanosaeta sp.
Lineage: Archaea; Methanobacteriati; Methanobacteriota; Methanomicrobia; Methanotrichales; Methanotrichaceae
Description: bacterial SSU rRNA
Rfam family: Archaeal small subunit ribosomal RNA
Source: RNAcentral
ACUGCUCAGUAACACGUGGAUAACCUGCCCUUGGGUCCGGCAUAACCCCGGGAAACUGGGGAUAAUUCCGGAUAACGCACAUAUGCUGGAAUGCUUUAUGCGUAAAAUGGAUUCGUCUGCCCAAGGAUGGGUCUGCGGCCUAUCAGGUAGUAGUGGGUGUAAUGUACCUACUAGCCUACGACGGGUACGGGUUGUGAGAGCAAGAGCCCGGAGAUGGAUUCUGAGACACGAAUCCAGGCCCUACGGGGUGCAGCAGGCGCGAAAACUUUACAAUGCCGGCAACGGCGAUAAGGGAACCUCGAGUGCCAGGAUACAAUCCUGGCUGUCGUAAUGCCUAAAAAGCAUUUCAUAGCAAGGGCCGGGCAAGACCGGUGCCAGCCGCCGCGGUAACACCGGCGGCUCGAGUGGUAACCGUUAUUAUUGGGUCUAAAGGGUCUGUAGCCGGCUGGAUAAGUCUCUUGGGAAAUCCGGCAGCUCAACUGUCGGGCUUUCAGGAGAUACUGUCCGGCUCGAGACCGGGAGAGGUGAGAGGUACUUCAGGGGUAGGGGUGAAAUCUUGUAAUCCUUGAAGGACCACCAGUGGCGAAGGCGUCUCACCAGAACGGAUCUGACGGCAAGGGACGAAAGCUAGGGGCGCGAACCGGAUUAGAUACCCGGGUAGUCCUAGCCGUAAACGAUACUCGCUAGGUGUCGGCCACGGUGCGACCGUGGUCGGUGCCGUAGGGAAGCCGUGAAGCGAGCCACCUGGGAAGUACGGCCGCAAGGCUGAAACUUAAAGGAAUUGGCGGGGGAGCAC